AUUGAACGCUGGCGGCAGGCCUAACACAUGCAAGUCGAGCGGAUGAAGGGAGCUUGCUCUUGGAUUCAGCGGCGGACGGGUGAGUAAUGCCUAGGAAUCUGCCUGGUAGUGGGGGAUAACGUCCGGAAACGGGCGCUAAUACCGCAUACGUCCUGAGGGAGAAAGUGGGGGAUCUUCGGACCUCACGCUAUCAGAUGAGCCUAGGUCGGAUUAGCUAGUUGGUGGGGUAAAGGCCUACCAAGGCGACGAUCCGUAACUGGUCUGAGAGGAUGAUCAGUCACACUGGAACUGAGACACGGUCCAGACUCCUACGGGAGGCAGCAGUGGGGAAUAUUGGACAAUGGGCGAAAGCCUGAUCCAGCCAUGCCGCGUGUGUGAAGAAGGUCUUCGGAUUGUAAAGCACUUUAAGUUGGGAGGAAGGGCAGUAAGUUAAUACCUUGCUGUUUUGACGUUACCAACAGAAUAAGCACCGGCUAACUUCGU
Molecule: ribosomal RNA, 483 nt
Filed under: uncultured bacterium
Lineage: Bacteria
Description: partial 16S ribosomal RNA
Rfam family: Bacterial small subunit ribosomal RNA
Source: RNAcentral